AAGAUUGGAAGGAUCUAAAGGGGUUCCUAGGCUCAAGCAAUGAAAAUCAAAGUGUGCACAUCUAAUCCAAACUAUCAUCCACAAUUUCAAGUUCAUAGAGAAAGAAAGCAACCAAACCUAGGGGAAAACUACAAUAAUAAUAAUGAUACUACAUGCUCAACUCAAACUGGUGCAACAUCUUUUUUCUCUUUUCUUUUCUUUUUUCUUUUUUUUUUAAUUUUUUUUCUUUUUUUUUUUCCUUUCUUUUUAUACAGCAGCACCCUUCUGAUUUUUUUUUCUAUAUCACUCCUCAACAUGCAACAAUUAUUUCCAUAAUAUCCCCACAAAUCGUCUCCCAAACUCAAUCUGAAUUCACUGCCACUGUUUGGCCAAACGGAUCAUAGACCCUUAUCAUCUAGCACAAGACAGCAGUUUGGGCAAACGACACAUGCAACCACAGCUUAACUUUCUCUAGUAAUUAAUGGAAUGAAGUUCAGAAUUAG
Molecule: long non-coding RNA, 482 nt
Filed under: Salvia miltiorrhiza (redroot sage)
Lineage: Eukaryota; Viridiplantae; Streptophyta; Magnoliopsida; Lamiales; Lamiaceae
Description: long non-coding RNA (SMIL_LNC013171)
Source: RNAcentral